Molecule: ribosomal RNA, 253 nt
Filed under: uncultured bacterium
Lineage: Bacteria
Description: partial 16S ribosomal RNA
Rfam family: Bacterial small subunit ribosomal RNA
Source: RNAcentral
UACGGAGGGGGCAAGCGUUGUUCGGAAUUACUGGGCGUAAAGGGCGCGUAGGCGGCCUUCUAAGUCGAACGUGAAAUCCCUGGGCUCAACCCAGGAACUGCGUCCGAUACUGGAAGGCUUGAAUCCGGGAGAGGGAUGCGGAAUUCCAGGUGUAGCGGUGAAAUGCGUAGAUAUCUGGAGGAACACCGGUGGCGAAGGCGGCAUCCUGGACCGGUAUUGACGCUGAGGCGCGAAAGCUAGGGGAGCAAACGGG